CGCAGCCGCGGUAAUUCCAGCUCCAAUAGCGUAUAUUAAAGUUGUUGCAGUUAAAAAGCUCGUAGUUGAAUUUCGGGAUCAAUAUAUCGGUCGUGCCUUGGUACGUACUGGUAUCAUUGGUUUCUCCUUUCUGACGAACCAUGAUGUCAUUAAUUUGGUGUUAUGGGAAGUUAGGACUGUUACUUUGAAAAAUUAGAGUGUUUAAAGCAGGCUUUGGCUUGAAUACAUUAGCAUGGAAUAAUGAAAUAGGACGUUCGAACCUAUUUUGUUGGUUUUUAGGAUCAACGUAAUGAUUAAUAGGGAUAGUUGGGGGCAUUAGUAUUCAAUUGUCAGAGGUGAAAUUCUUGGAUUUAUUGAAGACUAACUACUGCGAAAGCAUUUGCCAAGGAUGUUUUCAUUAAUCAAGAACGAAAGUUAGGGGAUCGAAGACGAUCAGAUACCGUCGUAGUCCUAACCAUAAACUAUGCCGAC
This 471-nucleotide unclassified non-coding RNA is filed under the name uncultured Glomus. RNAcentral's name for it is "SSU rRNA". It matches the Rfam family "Eukaryotic small subunit ribosomal RNA", at positions 569 to 1046 of the family's 1831-position model. The record is from RNAcentral. Lineage: Eukaryota; Fungi; Glomeromycota; Glomeromycetes; Glomerales; Glomeraceae.